CAGCCGCCACGGUAAUACGAAGGGGGCUAGCGUUGUUCGGAAUUACUGGGCGUAAAGCGCACGUAGGCGGAUCGAUCAAUCAGGGGUGAAAUCCCAGGGCUCAACCCUGGAACUGCCUUUGAUACUGUCGAUCUGGAGUAUGGAAGAGGUGAGUGGAAUUCCGAGUGUAGAGGUGAAAUUCGUAGAUAUUCGGAGGAACACCAGUGGCGAAGGCGGCUCACUGGUCCAUUACUGACGCUGAGGUGCGAAAGCGUGGGGAGCAAACAGGAUUAGAUACCCGAGUAGUCCCUGUCUCUUAUAC
RNAcentral lists this ribosomal RNA (301 nucleotides) under uncultured bacterium. Its description in RNAcentral is "partial 16S ribosomal RNA". It matches the Rfam family "Bacterial small subunit ribosomal RNA", at positions 509 to 807 of the family's 1533-position model. The record is from RNAcentral.